This 1176-nucleotide long non-coding RNA is filed under the name Lupinus angustifolius (narrow-leaved blue lupine). RNAcentral describes it as "long non-coding RNA (LANG_LNC002691)". Lineage: Eukaryota; Viridiplantae; Streptophyta; Magnoliopsida; Fabales; Fabaceae. The record is from RNAcentral.
CUCUCUGCCUUUUUCCUAAAACCAUGUGUGUGUAUAUCAUAUAUCUUGAACUACUUCAUCCAUAUGCAAGUUCUGUCUCUAGAAAAAUCUUCUUAGUCUAUCUAGUUUUUACAAUUUCUCUGUUUUGAAGCUAUGAAUGAGAUCAAAUAUGGCUACCCUUACCCUGCUCAAGGUACAUGUUUACAUACAAUUCCAACAUCCUCAAAUUUUAGAUAAAUCCUUCUUUAUCAUAGAUGCUUCAAGAAGAUGCUUUAAUUUGAAUUUCCUUGUUUUUUUCACACAUGGGCAAUAAAUGAUUCAAUGUAGUUAGUUGAAGCAACUAAUCAAUUUCCCCCAUUUUUGCAUGCAAUAAAUAUCAUUGCUUUACUUUGAACAUUCUUAAUUUAUGUUUCUUAAUUACUAUGCAGUACUAAACAAUUGUUAUAACCUUAGUUAUGACUUAUGAUUUUGUCCUACAGGUCCUUAUCAAGGACCGCCUCCGGUGGCGGCACCUCCACAUUACUACCCUGCACCACCACCCAAAAGAGAACCAGGUUUCCUUGAAGGAUGGUAAGCAUAAGCAGUUAUAUACAAGAGUAUAUCUUUUAUCUCAAAAUUUGUACUACUCCAUGUAUCAUGCAUUUCUCAUUGGUCAGAAAAUAUAAUGUUCACAUAUAUUUAAUUUAUAUUUCACUUUUCUAACUAAUGGGAAACAGAUAGUACAUGAAGUGGUAUAAACUUUGGGACAGAAGAUGUGGUCCAGUUAUAUAUAUAUAUAUAUAGAUGUAUAUGGAAAGUAGAAAGUGAUGUUGCUCCUACCACUAACCCAAAAUAUCAUUUAUUUAAUUAUUUAUAUUUUAAUCCAUGCAGAUAUUAUGUAACCAGAUUCCUUAGUUGUUAAAAGCUUUUGCUUAAUUUUGUUUUGAUUGCUUGUUUUGUGCAUAUUUGCAGCCUAGCAGCUUUGUGUUGCUGUUGCUUACUUGAUGAAUGCUGCUGUUGUGACCCAACCAUUAUUGUGGCUAGUUAAUUAAUACUUUGGCCUUUCCAUAUUUAGAAUCACUCUAUUAUUGUGAUGAUGUAUUUAAUUAAAACUUGUCAUUUUUAUAUGCAUGAGUACUAGUCAAUCUUUUAUUAAUAAAAUGCUUGUGACAAAGACUUGGAGGUAUUGGUAUACUUGAUAAUAGAACUAACUUCUGG